GGAUAACCGUUAUGAGUUUUGGUUNUUUAGUUCACUGAAGCUCGCACCGCAGUAUUGGAAAAGCCCUGGUAAAUUGGUUCUAAUACCGAAUAUGACCAUGCACUUCCUGGUGUGUGGUGGAAAGCUUUUGCGGUGUGGGAUGGGCCCGCGGCCUAUCAGCUUGUUGGUGGGGUAAUGGCCUACCAAGGCGACGACGGGUAGCCGGCCUGAGAGGGUGACCGGCCACACUGGGACUGAGAUACGGCCCAGACUCCUACGGGAGGCAGCAGUGGGGAAUAUUGCACAAUGGGCGCAAGCCUGAUGCAGCGACGCCGCGUGAGGGAUGACGGCCUUCGGGUUGUAAACCUCUUUCAGCACAGACGAAGCGCAAGUGACGGUAUGUGCAGAAGAAGGACCGGCCAACUACGUGCCAGCAGCCGCGGUAAUACGUAGGGUCCGAGCGUUGUCCGGAAUUACUGGGCGUAAAGAGCUCGUAGGUGGUUUGUCGCGUUGUUCGUGAAAACUCACAGCUUAACUGUGGGCGUGCGGGCGAUACGGGCAGACUUGAGUACUGCAGGGGAGACUGGAAUUCCUGGUGUAGCGGUGGAAUGCGCAGAUAUCAGGAGGAACACCGGUGGCGAAGGCGGGUCUCUGGGCAGUAACUGACGCUGAGGAGCGAAAGCGUGGGGAGCGAACAGGAUUAGAUACCCUGGUAGUCCACGCCGUAAACGGUGGGUACUAGGUGUGGGUUUCCUUCCUUGGGAUCCGUGCCGUAGCUAACGCAUUAAGUACCCCGCCUGGGGGAGUACGGCCGCAAGGGCUAAAACUCAAAGAAAUUGACGGGGGCCCCCCACAAGCGGCGGAGCAUGUGGAUUAAUUCGAU
Molecule: ribosomal RNA, 862 nt
Filed under: Mycobacterium sp. FS-YC6709
Lineage: Bacteria; Bacillati; Actinomycetota; Actinomycetes; Mycobacteriales; Mycobacteriaceae
Description: bacterial SSU rRNA
Rfam family: Bacterial small subunit ribosomal RNA
Source: RNAcentral